CACACAGGCACACGCUCACACACCACAUGUUGUGCUCUUCCUGCCAGGCUCCAGUCCCCCUUUCUCAUUAGUUUCCUACUGGCAGAAUCGUUUAGGUUUCCCUCUUUAUUGCCUGGACUCUGUGGAACCACACCUGUCUGAGGGAGAACAUUCUCAUUACGUGCAGGGCCAUGGGGCUCAUGGUGCUAAUAACACAAAUCCAAGGUCACACACACACCCUCAUGCCACAGGGCGGGCAUGUGACAUCUGAGAGGGAGCCCUCCUGUGGACUGUGGCCUGGAGACCACGUGCCAGUCUCAAGGGGCAGCUGCUCCAGUCUCCAGCUGAUGGUUGCCACAUGGGAAGGCAUAUGACAGUGUCGCCAAAUGUCCCAACAUGUCGAGAGACUCCAGAAAGCCACAUUGUCAGUGAGACCUCCUGGUUAACAAACUGGACUCUGCGCCAGUGUCUCUCCUCCCUCAUUGCCCUCCAUCCCUCUGUGACCUCCGCCCAGAGAUGGCUAGGGGUGCACUGUGACACCGAGGCUGACUGCGUGCACUGUGACACUGAGGCUGACUGCGUGCACUGUGACACCUGAGGCUGACUGCGUGCACUGUGACACCGAGGCUGACUGCGUGCACUGUGACACCGAGGCUGACUGCGUGCACUGUGACACCGAGGCUGACUGCGUGCACUGUGACACCUGAGGCUGACUGCGUGCACUGUGACACCGAGGCUGACUGCGUGCACUGUGACACCUGAGGCUGACUGCGUGCACUGUGACACCGAGGCUGACUGCGUGCACUGUGACUCCCAGGUGUCCUUCCCUCUACUUGCCCUUGGGUUUGUCUGAUGACGGCACCAGCAGACAAUAAGUGGCUGAUCCGGGGUCAGAUGUGCAUUGAAGUCGUCAGCGUGUGGUACUGACGGAAGCUGUGGGUGUGACUGAGGCCUCUCAGGAGGGACUGGGCAGUGAGGGGACAAUAGGCACUGAACACUGGGGAGAGCAGUGUGGCUCCUCCCAGAUCGUCCCCAGGCCUGAGGCUGCAGGGCCUCCAGGCAUGUGACCCGUGCAGGCUCUGCCCAGAGAUGUGACAUGCUCAUACCCAUGCAGGGCACAGCGGCUCCUGGAGUUGAAGGCGCUGUGGACACCUGAGUGAGACCGGUUAGAAAUGCCUGCCCUGCCUGGAUCAUGCCACCACAUCAAGUGUGACCCUGAACCUGAUCAUCUCCGUUCUCCCUGGGGUGUUGUCCCCUGGGUCCUUGUCACCAGCAGCAUCAGCCUUGCCGGGGCUCAUUGGAAUACAGAACCUCAGGCUGGCCCCUGGACCUACUGGAUCAGAACCUGCAUUCUGAAAAGGUCCUGGUGAGUCACAGGCAGAGGAAAGCCUCAGGAGCACUCCCUGCGUGCAUCACAGAAGCCCCGCUCACCCUGAGGCCUCGGUGUGGGCUGUGGUGCCCACAGCUCCAGCUCUCUAGGAACCAAUUAGAACUCCUGGUCAAAGAUGUGGAAGGAACGGACUCUUCCUCCAGAAUCCCCGUGAGAGAGACAAGGAAUGGGCAUUAAACCAAGCUAAGGGGAGGGGGCCGUAACGAGGCUCUGGGAGCUCCUGGGAAACGGUGACCAGUGACCAGCUCAGUGAGGCUAGGACCCUCGCUGGCGAGAUGGGAGGAGUUUUCCUCUUGAAGAAUCUGGCCAGGCUGUGAAAGAAGCCCAAUGGACAUGGACAUGAGGGGUUUCCCAAGAGAAUGCCCUAACAAGGGUGCAUCACAGAGGGCACAUGGGACCUGAGCACGGAGCUUCCAACAAGCUUUUCCUUCCUGCGAUUUGAAGUCAGCACCCCCAGACAGAGGAAAAUACGGAACGUGACAGUAGCAGACAUGGUCCUAUGAAGAGAGAAGAAAAUGUCAAAAUCACAACUGUGAGCGUCCUCAAGGGGUGAAAGAGGACACUCCAGCAGAUAACAAGGAUAGGAUGCUAUUAAAAAGAGCAUGAAAAUGUGAUUAAAAACACAGAAGUCAUAAAAACUGUGGACUCGGAAGUAAGCAAAUGUCCCCGAACAGAGAGCAGGAGAGGUGUGGUGUCCUCGAUGCCCACAGCUCGGUUGUCCUCCGGGCUCUGCCUUCGCCACCAUCUGCCAUGUUGGUCUUCUCUGUCCCUGAUGGACCUCUGGCUCUGUGGGCCCCUUCUGCUCAGAUCACAGUGUGCAGUGCCCUCCAGGCGGUACCUCCCCCUCACCCUGGGGCCUCCUGUUCCCUGAACUCUUCCCUCCCACGUUAGAACCACUGUGUCCUUGGUGACAGCCCGGGGCUCUCAGAUGUUUGGAUCUAAGGGAAAAACUACUCCCUGGACCCUCCACAGGAAGGCUCCUCUUGGAUAACAAAGAGAAGCUGCCGUGGCCGCGCCCAGUGCCAGGCUGGGGUCCAGGGCCUUUGGUCUGGGGAGUGCGGGGUCCACGGCUGGCCUCUCUGAGUCUCCUGGGAGAGACUGCCCGGUGGAAUCUUGUGGCCAGUGUUGUUGGCCGGGCCUGCAUGCUAAGCUGCCCAGCACCGGGGUGGGAAUGUGGCUGCUGUGUGAUUUCUGCAGAGCAAAGAAGUACAGAAACAGCCUCCGUGAAUAAUUUAGUGUAAGACCUCCAGUUAGCCACGGGGUUCCACCAGGAUUCAAGUAAAUUAAAGGCAAUUUCCUCCAACUUUCAUUCUCAAAGUUGUCCACAGGGAGGGGUCCACUGGCAUUCAAAUGCAGCAGCAGGAGGAGAGAGAGAGAAAGGGAGAAAAAGACAGAGAGGGAGGCAGAGAGGGACAGACAUGGAGAGGAGAGAGAGGUGUUUUCCAGCUGCUUGCUCCUUCCACAAUUUCUGGGUUCACCUGAUCUGAUUGUUGUGUGUUCCCCGUCUCCCCACCUAGCAAAUCAGCAGACCUACUGACUGUCAAGGUUUUACUGAAAAUGUCCUUGUGCCGGCAGCAUCGCCCUGGUAGGCCAGUGAAUGGAGCCAGUACACACCUCUCUUUCCCUGCCUGCUGUUGACGAUCUCCUCCGCCCCCAGAGCCUGGAGGCCCGUUUCCUCCUCAUCUUGCCCAUCGGAGAAGAUCCACUCUGCUGCUCCAGGCAGACUUCUGGGCGUCCCUGGGACUCUGUCCAGCUGUGCAUCCUUCCUCUCCUGGCCAGAACGCAGGUCCCUCAGGAUGGCCCUGGCCCUGUGUCCACUGCCGUUCCUCCACGUCUGCCAUGCUGCUUGGCACACGGUAGGCGCUCGGGAGAGGCUGUCUGAGACCACAAGCAGAGAGGGAGAUCCGUGUUCAGAGAGGCUGUUUGUCACCAGUGGGGGUCGGCGUGGUCAGGACGGGCCGGCAGAGGACCUGCAGGACUGGACAGAGCGGACGGGUGUGGACAGCUCUCCUCCCCUCUGCUCAGGGUGCAUCGUAGUGCAGGCCGGCGUCCCGGGUGUGCUGCUCUCGCCUGUGGCCGGAGGGGGUGGGUUUGUGGGCCUGGAGGAGCUGGCGGGAGGCCCCAGUCUGGGUGGGACGAGCCCGGCAGGGCAAGACCAGAGUGGGUGGAGUUGGGGACUGGAGGGCUCCCUGCAUCCAGCCCUCUGCGUGCUCUCUGCCGGCAUCGGGGUGCACAAGCCCACCAGCUCCCCAGACACACAGGAGCACGCGUGUACACACUCAGACACACACACAGACACACAGGAGCACGCAUAUACACACACAGGCACACAUACAGACACACAGGAGCACAUGCACACAACCAUACACACAGGAGCACAUGUGUGCAUGUACGCACACACACUACAAAGACACAGGGGCACAUGCAUACACAUACACACACAUUCAGCAGCACAUUUGUCCACAUGUGCAUGGGAGCAUGCGUGCACACACAGGAGCACAUGUGCAUGCACACACAGGAGCUUGUGUGUACACACACAGGAGCACAGGUAUGUGCACACACGCGGGAGAACACACACACACAGUGCUGGAACACCAUCACCAGUGUGCUGUCUGCUCCCCCCCGUUGGAAGGCGCUGCCCGAGUUGUCCCACACCUCCCCCAUCAGCACACUUCGAGAAGCGGGUCCUGACCAGCUCCAGUCCAUUGCGGGAAGCAGCCCUCAGACACGGGGACAGCUGCGGGCUCAUGGUCCUGAGAACCUGGCUCUCCUGCCACUGGGAGGGCUCACGGAGGACGCCUGGAACCCCCUCCGUCACCUCUUCAGACAGUCAGGAGCCUGCUUUCCCCAAAACUGGAAGGUUGGAGCCAUAGGAAAUGUCCCCAUCAUAUCAGAAAACUGAGGACUCUGCAGAAUGUUCUGGAACCUUCAGUGAGUGGGAGCUGCUGAUGCUGGUGACGGAGACUGGACAGGCUGUGAGGGGAGCAUGGGGACCUAGAGAAGCUUUGGGGACACAUCGGCACAUUUACAAUUUGUGCCUAAAUUUGCUCCUCCUUGGAGACCUGGCCAGGCUCAGAGCGAUCAACAGACAGGACGCCUGUCGCCAGUCAGUCAAUCGCUUGAUCGCUGGAUGAGUCAGUGGAUCAAUGCGCCGACUGCCCUCUGAACCGAGGGUGUGUUUCCUGGGAUGGGAAGAUGGUGAGGAGGCCCGACGCGCCCUGUGCGCUCAGCGCCCUGCUCCCCCAGCCAGCGGCGGCCUGGUGAGCAGGUGGGAGCUGUGGGGGGGCAUCUGGGACCUGCUGCCCCCGGGGUUGCUGACCUGCAGGGCUCCUUUGUGAGGGGGAGAAAAUGCUCCCAGGAGGAGGAGGCCUCCUCAGGGCCCAGGCUGGCAUUUUGCCAGUGCGAGGUGUCUGGACGGAAACCUCUAGAGGGGAACUUCCCAGGUCAAAGGGCGUCUGCACACAGGGAUUAUCACAAAAGUGCCCCCGGGGGUUCCACCCACAGCCUUCCUCAGAGUCUGGGUUAGCGGAGCAGGCCCCUGGUCCUUGGAAUGAGAAACCCCAACUGAGUCGCCCCAUCCCUGCAUCUGGGGUGCGGCCUGUGGGAGGGGCUGGCGGGCAGCUGCGGGGUCCCUGGGGUCUGGCUGUUUCUCAGUCCCCUCCUCAUGCCCCCCACUGUCUGCCCCCCCUGAGGGCCUGGCCGCGAGGUGAAGGGUCCAGGGGUCACUUGAAGGGAGGGGCUGCAGCUGGGCCAUCCCAGGGGAGGGGGCCGAUUAUGAAAGGCCCUCAGAGAGCCACACAAGGCAGCCUUGUUGGGUAUGAGCUCCCCCCAAGCUCGGGCUUUCCUCCCCCGUGAGCAGGAAGGGGCGACCCAGACCGAGGUCAGAUGGCCUGCACUGUGUGGGGUCCCUGUGGUCUAUUUCCAGCUCCAGCCUCUGGCCCUGCACACACAGGGGCAUUAAAGGAAGCUGCUUGUAGCAUGAGACAUCCGCCCUGUGGUCCUUCCUGCAGCUGUGUCCUCACUAAGGGAAGGUGACCGAGCCCAGAGUGGGAGGGGUCGGAGGGCCCAGCUGUGAGUGUGGACCAGGCUGAGGCCUCAUCACCAGCCAGGAGGCUCCCUGGAGACCCUGGGGCCAGAAUGACCUCCCUCUACAACCUUCCCUGGCUCCCCAUUGCUGUGCAGGGGAGUCCAUGCUCCUCACCCAAGGUCCCCAUCAUAACCUCCAUCAGACGCGCCCCCACUCCUCCUGGGCUUCACCCUUGACCCCCACCCUCUGUCUCUGGGUUGAGACCAGGAGCCGCCCCAGGGCAGGGUCAGGAGUGACACCCUCUGAGCCUGGGUGUCCACAAGACUCUGCAGGCUGCACGUUCAGCAAACAUGGGCCCAGGGGUGCGCAGGGCGAGACGGCAAUGACACCUGACCCCAGCACACAGUGAGCCGGACGCCAUUGCAGCUGAGAGGUCAGAGUGCCUGGACCAUCGGGAUGUGGUGGAUGUCGGCUGGCCCUGAAGGUCAGCAGAGCACAGCCCAGGAGCAGACCCUGCCCCAAUGGCCCAAGUCUCACCCCCUCCAGGUGCCAGCAGGGUAGCCGGCCGGUCCCCAUGGCCUCUCUGGACCUGGCUUCCUCGUCUGGGCCGUGGGGAUGGAGUCGCAGCAGGCUGGCCUGGCACGGUUGUUUUGAGUAUGACUGAGCGAGCCCCUGGGACGCACGGCCCUCCUGUCACUAGAAGCUCCACGUGGUGCCAGGACUUCCCUUCCGGGAUCAGUAAGAGUAAUGACAAAUGCUCCCGCCUCCUCCCAGGGAGCAAACGAUCUCCAGGUCAUAAAGGGCAAGAGCAACAGGCCACACUCUGCGAAGACGACGCCUCCGAGAUCUAAAUCCACACUAUGGACAGUGGCCUCCGGGGUGUUGCCAUCCAGUCUCGGGAAUGAGAAGGAAGCCUCCAGACUCCGCGUGCAAACUCAGGAGGAGCAUCUCUGUGGCUUCAGCGGCUGAAGCACCCCUGCCUGAAAGCUCCCUGGUGUCAGACGCCCCGUGAGGGGAGGCGGGGACAGAGCCCACCCCUCUCGGGGUCUCUGGAAAGAGCAUCAUCUGCGGGAGCAUCCGCCAGCCCUGCCUCCGUGUCCUCCCUCCUGCUCCAGGGGCGACCCUCCUGGGAGCCUCACAGGGAAGGGCCAUGGCCAAAAUGAGGGAGGGGCCCAGGUGCCAGGUGUCUCCGCAGAGCCUGUCCCGGCGGAGGCCGCACCCCCCACCCCUGCCCUGAGACCACGGUAGUCACAGUGACCAUGGAUCCUCGCAGCUGCUGCCUCCAUCAGGGUCGGUGCGGGAACAAAGCACCCAGGGAUGCAGGUGGGGUGGGGCUUAAUGCAGGGAAUUGGGUGCUCACAGAGCUGGGGGGCAGGCUGAAGGAGUGGGGUGCCGGCUGAGCCCACAGGGACUACUCGGGGUCACGGCAGACCUGACGCCAGGGAGCCCCCUCUCCCAGGGCUGGAAUUAAAUGCAGACCCUCCUAGACCAGUGGGGUGGGCCCAGCCUUCUCCCUUCAUCUCCACCUGCUACCUGUUCUGAGCACUGUCCGUGUCCCUGAGUCACCUGGUGCAAGGAGGCCCCUGAGACAGACCCCGGACGAGGACGCCUCUGAGUCCAGCACGGUUGCCGGGACCGCUCCUCACAGGAGGCAGAACACGGGCCCUUCUCCUCCCCCCACAGCAGACCCCGAGAGCGGGGCGCCCUGAGGACCGGCUGGCCAGGCCCCUCCCUGGGGAAAGUGACCAGAGGUGAGGGGGGCCUUGGCUGAGAGGUGCAGUGGGAGAGACAGGGAUGUCAUGGGCUCAGAUACCAGCACGUGGCCGGGGUAGAGGGACAGCCUGCAGGGGCAGUGACAGAGCCAGCUAAGUGAAGCAGGACUGAGUUAAUGAGUCAGGAGCAACACUCCAAAGAUUCACAGAAAUAGUUUGGGGGAGGCUGAGGCACAAAGGGAAAUGUAUUGGAAAACUUAGUAUUCACCAGCUUCAGGCACAGUUUAAUCCAGCAGCUAGAACACUGGCAGCUGGGCCUGACCUCUCUUUAUCUCGUGGCUCAGGUAUCCCACGUCCAUGUCCCUCCCAGGCAGCAUCUCCUCAGCGUUACAUCCACUGAAACAAAUUCUCUUGUCCAAGCAGGUCCAGCAGACGGCCCACCCCUGAACCAUUCACUGUGGCCAAAGGAGCAGAAUGUUCUAGUCUGAAUAGGCCUGAGUCACAUGACCACACCAGGGCUGGGGGUGGAGUCUGGCCCUUGCAGACCACACACUCAGAGUUGGGGGUGGGACCCUAGGGAGCCAGGUGCUGUUGCCUCAAGAAGGAGCCCACUCCCUCAGCUGCUCUCCAGGGUUCCAGGGAGCUGUCACCCUGGGUUUUACCAAUUCCUCCUGCAGAAGCCGUGGCUGCCGCCCCCCAGGGCCCAAGAUGCCCUUUGAGCUUUCUCUCCUCAAGAGCCUGCGGCUCCAAAGGAAGAUGAUGCCAGACACGGCGCAUGGACGCACUACAGAUGCCCCCAUGGGGAGGAGAGCUGAGCUCACCUCCACUUCACGUGCAGGUCACUGCCCCCCACGUCCUGGGCCUGGGCCCCGUUUGUCUCCGGUCCCCGGGCUGCUCCAGCUCCUCUCAAGGAGCCAGGAGGAGAGGCUCAGCCCAGGACGCUUGCUGACUAAGGAGGCUGCGCUGUGCUGAGCUGUUUCAGGCCAGCUCCUGGGCUGCUGUGGGAUUCCUAGUCUGGAGGAGGAAAGGGUUAACUUUGUGGCAGCACAGGGAAGUUCUGGGAUCCACGAUGUUUUCCAAUUCUGUGUUUCUUCUGGUCAUUAAUUGGAUAGAAGUUGUUAAACUUGAUGAGGAAGCCAGAGAGAACGCAGGUUGACUGAAUCUCUGGGAGAUUAAGUUAAUUUUUCUCCUCCAAGAACUGCCGGAAGCUUCCACGUCGGUGCUGCUGAAAGAGAAAGGAACAGAAUGGUUCAGACAGGAUUGUCUCUUGUCUUCUGACGCCUGCAUUGUGGACGCAGUGGGCCUGUCUGCUCAGAGUGGGGGCUCCGGGGUCAGCCUGGCGGGGACCCCAGCUCGGGGACACAGGCCGUGUGGCCUUGGGCAGGUCCAAGCCUCAGUUUCCACUCGGGAGAAUGGGGUUGAGGACAGGGCGUGCUCUCCAGGGGCUCUGUGGGGAUCCAGGAGACGAUGCCCUGGGAGCAUGUGGCACCGGGGCCUGGCACAUCCCCAACCUGCUCUUGUCCCAGAAAUGACCUGGUGACAGAUCACCACUUUCCUAUUGAUGUGGCAUCAAUUCUUCCCACUGCCCUUCUGAUAAAGUCCUAAAUGUUUAACACACUGUGAAGACUCCCCAAAACAAGGCUAAAGACGUGCUGGGGGAACCAAACGUGGGAGGAUGAAAACAUCCAGGGGUCAGGAGGGCGCUUGUGUCUGGGGCUGGGAAAACCACCGUGCCUGGGGGAAACCAGAACCGGCUCCUGAGGUUAUUUUCGGCUGAGGAAUUGUUUUCAGCUUCAGCUGCACAUGGGUCCCCCUUCAGGUCAGACUGGCCCCUAGGAGCCUGCAUCUGGCCUGUGGGGUGGUCUCCUGACCCUGCAGGACCUGCCCCCACACCCGUAUCCCCUCUCCGUGCACCCGUGUCUCCGCCCCAGGAACCCCUCCUUCUCCUGCAAGCUGGCGCUCCCCCAGCCCCCCAGCCCCUCCCUUCCCUGGAAUGUUCCCCCUCCCCGAAGCCCCUUCCGUGGGCGAGUCCUGGGGGGCCCUGCCGCCCACUGCAGGCUCCCUGCCCUCUAACCAGCGCCCUUCACACUGUCUGCUCUGGGCCUCCACGGGACCGAGCGUCUGUCUCCCUCACAGGCUCAUCUCACAGCUGCAGGUCCAGGUUCUAGCUGAAAUUUAAAUAUGCUGGUGAAGAAUGUAAUACGGAAUUCCUCGUAUAUUGGUAAUAUUGACAUUUUAGAUAAAACUACUACAUCUCUCUCCUCAGUGUAUCCAGUGAGAUGCUGAGAACAUAGGGAUGGGCCAUCCAUUUAAAAUGACAUCAUCUGGUUAAAAUGACAGAACGGAAAUCGUGUUGUUCUUUCUUCUCCUCCCACUCACAUUUCACUGCCUCCCUCUUCUCGCCCCAGCGCCCUGCUGCUUGAGAC
Long non-coding RNA from Equus caballus (horse), 9534 nucleotides. The record is from Ensembl. NCBI's taxonomy places the organism in Eukaryota, Metazoa, Chordata, Mammalia, Perissodactyla, Equidae.